CUCUUGACUUCGUAAACGUAAACCUAAUCUGCUUAGAAGACAGAAACUCUCGACUCCGACUCCCUGUGUCUGUGGCUGCCCAGUCCCCUCCGUCUCUGACUCUCCUUCAAGCUCUCUAAGGCACCGCGCGAGGGUUUCAUUUUCUCUUCUCUUCUCCAAAACCCUAGCAGUCGGCAGUCGCUUCCUGGCCAUCCUCUGGUACGAAUCAUCCUCUGCGCGCUCUCUUCCUCGGCGGCGCCUCCUCUGGCCAUCCUCUGCUCCAUACAUCAAGGCGUACUUUAGGUGCGGAAGUGAGUUUCUUGGGCGUAAGGUGUUCGACGAAAUGGCCUCGAGAAAUCUCUACUCCUGGAACAAUGUGCUCUCCAGGUAUGCAAAGCUGGGUAGGAUGCGCCCCGAGAGAAAGAUGUUCAACAGAAUACCUAAGAGGGAUAUUGUUUCCUGGAACACAAUGUUGAUCAGGUAUGCAAAGGUUAGUGAUUGCGACGAAGCAUUAAGGUUCUAUAAGGAGUUUCUGACGUAGGGGAUGAGGCCCAACAAGUUCAGAUUCGCUAGCCUCUUGACCAUUGCGUGAAGCUGAGAGAAGUAGGACUUACUAGACAGGUUCAUGGCCAGGCACAUGCAUGCAUGCCAAAUGGUAAAUGAAUCAUGGACGAUGGGAUUAAUCGAUCUGUUGGAAUGAUAAGGUGGUAUGACGGAUUUGGUCUGCAUCUGCAAGCUGGUUUGAGGAGACUGGGCUUCGUUCGAAUUGGUGGGUGCACGUGAAACCAGGCGGGACAAUUCAAUUAAGGUUAUAAGCAUAGCUAACACAGACAGAAUUUUGAGUGUGAUGACAACAAAGAGACAUUCGAACAUUUGAAAGAAGAGAAGAAAUUAAUGGCAUUGCUCUGAUUCCUUAAGCAACUGAUUCCAAUGGUAGCCGAUUGAUGGAUUUUCAAUGGAAUCCCGCCAGUGAUUUUCUGUUAGUACAACAAUACUAAUUCCGAUGUGGAUAUCUCAGGAGCAAGGGACACACCAAGUGAUGAUAUAAAUGCGAAAAGAGGUGUCCACCUAUUAUAUAAAACAGAGUCAAUAUUAGUGCUUGGUGUAG
Molecule: non-coding RNA, 1087 nt
Organism: Punica granatum (pomegranate)
Lineage: Eukaryota; Viridiplantae; Streptophyta; Magnoliopsida; Myrtales; Lythraceae
Source: RefSeq, a predicted model, not a curated record